Molecule: long non-coding RNA, 1464 nt
Organism: Tympanuchus pallidicinctus (lesser prairie-chicken)
Lineage: Eukaryota; Metazoa; Chordata; Aves; Galliformes; Phasianidae
Exons: 3
Source: RefSeq, a predicted model, not a curated record
UCAUCCACCGGAUGGAGCUGGCGGCCACCUCCACACCCUCCUGCCUCCACCAGCCGCCUUCCGGUACCGCUCUGGAGUCGGGCCACACAGGAGCAUAGGGGACCUGGAAGACCGCAGUCUGUUUCUGUACUGUUAAUGUUCAGAAGUCUACUUGUCCAGCCUCCUGCUUGCUGUGAAACCCUUCCAGUUUCCAUUCACUGGUCCCCAUGGAAGUUCAGCAAGCGUCAAUGGGACAAGGAGAGAACAGGCUGAGGACAGCAAUCCCUAAUUGGCCUUCUCAGGGUGGAGAACCCCAGCACCAGGGCCCAAGGACCUCACAGGCCCUCCAAGGAACCCCUUGCAAUCUAAGUACAGCCCAUAGGAUGCCAGGCCCCCUCUUCCCCAUCAUUCUCCUUUGGAAUCAGGGCAGAAGAGAUGCCACCUUCUCAUACCCAGAUACAGAGGUGAGGGAGGGAAAGGGCAGCUGAUGGAACCCUUAAAAGUCAACCAUUUUUUAAUGAUUGCAUAUUCCUUGGCUGCUUGCGUGAUGUCAGUAUGCUUUGCCUCUUCUCUGCUGCUGUCUGGCACCAGGAUGGCUUCACCCUAUGCGGCUGCAGGGUCAUUGAGAGCCCCCUUCUCCAAUCCUCUUGGUACCUUCCUGCAACCAUCUCACAGAAUGGGCCAUGGGUACCAACUCCCAACAGCCGUGUUUUGUUCACCACAGGACACUCAGAAUCCUAUUGCCAUGGCCACCUUCUGUUUCAAGCCCUAUAAAUACGGGGACCCUGCAUACAGAACACCAGUUGCUGAGCUGAAGCAGCCAGUGAUACUUGUGAGAUAUAUUAAGAAGUUUAUUUCCUGGAAUGAGGAUGAGGAACCCACCUUUCAAGGAGAGACAGAUGAUGGAAAUGGGUGAUGACAUCGAGCCCAUGGAGGUGGAUUCACCUGGUAGUGAUGAAGAGCCACAUGGAGGUGGGUCAACCUCUGGAGAAUGACCUGAUGGAAGUGGAUCCACCUCCAUUGGAGCAGACCGGUCACCAAGCCAUCACUGUCAGGCCAACUAUGAAGAGAUUUGCGCCCCAGAGAUUAUCAUAGGGGCGCUGGGAUCAAUAUGCCUCCCUCCAAACAGCUGCCUCGGUGCAGGUGCUGAUCCUCCCAUCCCAUAGGUUUAUUAUAACCCGGGAAAGCCCCAGCUCAAGGUCAUCCCGUGGGCUCACAUGGAGCCUUCAUUUCCUGGUAAUUCUUCUUUUGACAGCCAAGGCUGUUACGAGCCCAUCCUUCCUUUCCUCCUUCCUCAUCCUUUCUUAAGGGAAAGAAGGGAUUAGAAGUGACAGCUGUACCUGUGGAGAAGCAGACUUUAGUUCAGACAGGAAGAAGCGCUGAACUUCAGCAGGAAGAUCCAAUCCAGAUGCUCCACGUGGACUUUUUUUUUCAAGGUUAGACAGCCAACAAUUUAAAAUAACAAUUCAAAUAAUAAAAACACAA